UAACGAAUCUUCGUCAAUGCACGAAAGUGUGAACGAGCGACGCCGCGUGGAGGAUGAAGUUCUUCGGAAUGUAAACUCCUGUCAGGGGAAAGAAAGUUCUGAUCUACCCCAGAGGAAGGGACGGCUAACUCUGUGCCAGCAGCCGCGGUAAGACAGAGGUCCCAAGCGUUAGGCGGAAUCACUGGGCUUAAAGCGUGUGUAGGCGGAUUAGCAAGUACCUUGUGAAAUCCCACGGCUUAACCGUGGAACUGCUUGGUAUACUGCUAGUCUUGAGGCAUCUAGAGGCAACUGGAACAAACGGUGGAGCGGUGAAAUGCGUAGAUAUCGUUUGGAACGCCCAAGGUGAAAACAGGUUGCUGGGGAUGUACUGACGCUGAGACACGAAAGCCAGGGGAGCAAACGGG
This 404-nucleotide ribosomal RNA is filed under the name uncultured bacterium. RNAcentral describes it as "bacterial SSU rRNA". It matches the Rfam family "Bacterial small subunit ribosomal RNA", at positions 355 to 776 of the family's 1533-position model. The record is from RNAcentral.